RNAcentral lists this ribosomal RNA (425 nucleotides) under uncultured prokaryote. RNAcentral describes it as "bacterial SSU rRNA". It matches the Rfam family "Bacterial small subunit ribosomal RNA", at positions 355 to 796 of the family's 1533-position model. The record is from RNAcentral.
UAACGAAUCUUCCGCAAUGCACGAAAGUGUGACGGAGCAAUGCCGCGUGUGGGACGAAGCGGUUUCGCCGUGUAAACCACUGUCAGGUUCUCGAAAGAACUGAUCAGGACCAGAGGAAGGGCCGGCUAAUCUCGUGCCAGCAGCCGCGGUAAGACGAGAGGCCCGAGCGUUGAGCGGAAUCACUGGGCUUAAAGGGUGCGUAGGCGGAUCGGCAGGUAUCUUGUGAAAGCCCACGGCUCAACCGUGGAAUUGCAGGGUAAACCGCCGAUCUUGAGGUAGGUAGAGGUCGUCGGAACGUUGGGUGGAGCGGUGAAAUGCGUAGAGAUCCAACGGAACGCCAAAGGUGAAGACAGGCGACUGGGCCUAACCUGACGCUGAGGCACGAAAGCGUGGGGAGCAAACAGGAUUAGAUACCCCCGUAGUCC